Molecule: ribosomal RNA, 526 nt
Filed under: Enterococcus thailandicus
Lineage: Bacteria; Bacillati; Bacillota; Bacilli; Lactobacillales; Enterococcaceae
Description: bacterial SSU rRNA
Rfam family: Bacterial small subunit ribosomal RNA
Source: RNAcentral
CUGAUGGAUGGACCCGCGGUGCAUUAGCUAGUUGGUGAGGUAACGGCUCACCAAGGCCACGAUGCAUAGCCGACCUGAGAGGGUGAUCGGCCACAUUGGGACUGAGACACGGCCCAAACUCCUACGGGAGGCAGCAGUAGGGAAUCUUCGGCAAUGGACGAAAGUCUGACCGAGCAACGCCGCGUGAGUGAAGAAGGUUUUCGGAUCGUAAAACUCUGUUGUUAGAGAAGAACAAGGAUGAGAGUAACUGUUCAUCCCUUGACGGUAUCUAACCAGAAAGCCACGGCUAACUACGUGCCAGCAGCCGCGGUAAUACGUAGGUGGCAAGCGUUGUCCGGAUUUAUUGGGCGUAAAGCGAGCGCAGGCGGUUUCUUAAGUCUGAUGUGAAAGCCCCCGGCUCAACCGGGGAGGGUCAUUGGAAACUGGGAGACUUGAGUGCAGAAGAGGAGAGUGGAAUUCCAUGUGUAGCGGUGAAAUGCGUAGAUAUAUGGAGGAACACCAGUGGCGAAGGCGACUCUCUGGUCUG